Molecule: transfer RNA, 74 nt
Filed under: Pseudomonadota bacterium
Lineage: Bacteria; Pseudomonadati; Pseudomonadota
Also listed under: 2 other names
Description: tRNA-Arg
Rfam family: tRNA
About the family: Transfer RNA (tRNA) molecules are approximately 80 nucleotides in length. Their secondary structure includes four short double-helical elements and three loops (D, anti-codon, and T loops).
Source: RNAcentral
GCCCCCGUAGCUCAACUGGAUAGAGCUGCUCCGUCCUAAGGAGAAGGUUGCUGGUUCAAGUCCGGCCGGGGGCG